CUCAACGAUAGACGAUAAAAACUACGAAAAUAAACGAAUAAUAUAAUUUUAUUUCAAAUAUUAUUGAGUUGCUUUUUACUUAAAUCCAACUUAUCCGAGUUUUUCCACUUCUUCAUAAAAAUAGCGAUUAAAAUUAAAAUUUUCUUCAAAAAAAAAACUUUAACUAUCUAUGCAGUGUCGUUUGAAAAAGUAUACUUUCUUCAAAAAAUACAGCUUAAAACAUGUUGUUUAGUUGGAUUGCGGUUUUUCUACAAUAUUGCUUAAUUCAUUAAAGUAACCAGGUUGGAAGAACAGGUUUUGGUUCAGGAAAUCAAGACUGGGGUUAUGUGACAGUGAGACCUGGAGCGUACAUGUUUUGGUGGCUCUAUUACGUUAAUCCAACAACAGUAUCACUAGAAAAUUCAAACCCUUUCAACAAACCCCUGAUUGUUUGGCUGCAAGGCGAUCCGGGAGAAUCGGGCACUGGAUAUAGAAAUUUUAAUGAAAUUGAACCACUGGACAUAAAUCUCAAAAGAAGAAACUAUACAUUGAUCCAUGAUUACAAUGUUUUGUUUAUCGACAAACCAGUGGGGACUGGUUUUAGUUACGUCGAUACAAUUCAAAUGAUGGCACAGAAUUUGACGCAAGUUGGCCAUGAUCUUGUAGCACUGAUGAAAGUAUUCCUAGAAAAGAUUCCACAAUUUAAAAAUGUUCCGACUUAUAUUGUCGGCGAAUCUUACGGAGGAAAUAUGGCUGUGCAAUUUGCUCAUCUAUAGAUGGUUUCAGGCUCAAAAAGUACAAAACAAUCAUCAGUAAUUUAAAAAGGAAUAGCUUUGGGUGAUGCGCCUAUAUCUUUUAAGGAAACAGUUAAAUGUAUAGCUCCAUACUUAUUGAACUUGGGCUUAAUAGACACUAAAAAUUUUAUCAAGAUCGAGAGUAUUGCCUCAAAAACCCUCAAGUCAUUGAAUGAAGAACGAUGGUCUGAAGCAAUGAUGAGUCAUAGUCUUACGUAUGCAACUAUAAAUAAUCUUACUGCAGAGAUUUCUAUGUACAACAUUCUACAACCAAAAACUAACAAUUUCUGAACUCCCACAAAUAUUUUACUUCUUUGCGGUCGACUAUCAAAGAAGUUAAUGUAGAUGGUCAGAUACGAAAAAUCAUGGAACACGAAGUUAAAAGGAGACUUGAGAUUGAUCAUAACAGAAAUUAUACAUUGUUUUCGGAUGCGGUCUGGGAUGUACUGAGUAGCUAACUUAUGAAACCCACGGAACGUAUUGUUGAGAAGCUAUUGAACGAAACAAAUCUCAAAAAUCUUUGUAUACACUGGGCAGUUGGAUUUGAUUGUUCCAAUUCCUAGUACUAUGAGCUGGGUAGAAAAAUUUGAAAUGAACGUAUGCUAAGGAGUGGAAUAACGCCAUCCGGGUACCAUUUACUAUUGACAAUAUUAUUGAAGGAUAUGUUAAAGAGUACAAAAAUUUUAAUUGUAUUGGAUAGACAGAUCUGGACACUCGGGUGCAAAAGAUAAUCCAUACGCCAUAAAUGCAAUGCUUCAAGAUUUAACAUCCAUCAUCACUCCAAAUUAAAUCAUGUAAAGUAUUCCUAAGUAAAUGAAUGUAACGAAAUAUAUUUUUGUAAAAG
Long non-coding RNA from Cotesia glomerata, 1617 nucleotides. RefSeq lists it as uncharacterized. The transcript has 6 exons. Lineage: Eukaryota; Metazoa; Arthropoda; Insecta; Hymenoptera; Braconidae. The record is from RefSeq and is a predicted model, not a curated record.